This 22-nucleotide non-coding RNA is filed under the name Arabidopsis thaliana (thale cress). Lineage: Eukaryota; Viridiplantae; Streptophyta; Magnoliopsida; Brassicales; Brassicaceae. The record is from RNAcentral.
GGCUUGUGGAAUCUCGAUGGGU